GCCUUGGCGGCAGCCUACACAUGCAGUCGAGCGGUAGCACGGGGAGCUUGCUCCUGGGUGACGAGCGGCGGACGGGUGAGUAAUGUCUGGGGAUCUGCCUGAUGGAGGGGGAUAACUACUGGAAACGGUAGCUAAUACCGCAUAACGUCGCAAGACCAAAGAGGGGGACCUUCGGGCCUCUUGCCAUCAGAUGAACCCAGAUGGGAUUAGCUAGUAGGUGGGGUAAUGGCUCACCUAGGCGACGAUCCCUAGCUGGUCUGAGAGGAUGACCAGCCACACUGGAACUGAGACACGGUCCAGACUCCUACGGGAGGCAGCAGUGGGGAAUAUUGCACAAUGGGCGCAAGCCUGAUGCAGCCAUGCCGCGUGUAUGAAGAAGGCCUUCGGGUUGUAAAGUACUUUCAGCGAGGAGGAAGGCAUUAAGGUUAAUAACCUUAGUGAUUGACGUUACUCGCAGAAGAAGCACCGGCUAACUCCGUGCCAGCAGCCGCGGUAAUACGGAGGGUGCAAGCGUUAAUCGGAAUUACUGGGCGUAAAGCGCACGCAGGCGGUUUGUUAAGUCGGAUGUGAAAUCCCCGGGCUCAACCUGGGAACUGCAUUCGAAACUGGCAAGCUUGAGUCUUGUAGAGGGGGGUAGAAUUCCAGGUGUAGCGGUGAAAUGCGUAGAGAUCUGGAGGAAUACCGGUGGCGAAGGCGGCCCCCUGGACAAAGACUGACGCUCAGGUGCGAAAGCGUGGGGAGCAAACAGGAUUAGAUACCCUGGUAGUCCACGCCGUAAACGAUGUCGACUUGGAGGUUGUGCCCUUGAGGCGUGGCUUCCGGAGCUAACGCGUUAAGUCGACCGCCUGGGGAGUACGGCCGCAAGGUUAAAACUCAAAUGAAUUGACGGGGGCCCGCACAAGCGGUGGAGCAUGUGGUUUAAUUCGAUGCAACGCGAAGAACCUUACCUACUCUUGACAUCCAGAGAACUUUCCAGAGAUGGAUUGGUGCCUUCGGGAACUCUGAGACAGGUGCUGCAUGGCUGUC
This 1026-nucleotide ribosomal RNA is filed under the name Klebsiella michiganensis. Its description in RNAcentral is "bacterial SSU rRNA". It matches the Rfam family "Bacterial small subunit ribosomal RNA", at positions 33 to 1053 of the family's 1533-position model. The record is from RNAcentral. Lineage: Bacteria; Pseudomonadati; Pseudomonadota; Gammaproteobacteria; Enterobacterales; Enterobacteriaceae.